Molecule: long non-coding RNA, 461 nt
Organism: Bos taurus (domestic cattle)
Lineage: Eukaryota; Metazoa; Chordata; Mammalia; Artiodactyla; Bovidae
Source: Ensembl
GGGAUUCUCCAGGCAAGAAUACUGGAGUGGGUUGCCAUGUCUUCCUUCAGGGGAUCUUCCUGGCCCAUGGACUGAACCUGUGUCUCUUAUGUCUCCUGCAUUGCCUCUCACUGUCCUGGCAUUUCCUCUACGUUCAUGUCUUGCUAGAACGGUGUGAAUUGACAGAAUAUCUGCGGGGUUUUACGUAGUAUAUGGCUGCCCACAAGAUGUUUACUGAGUACCAUCUAUGUUCCAGGCACUCGACAUGGGAAUACCCAAAGCUGACCAGGAAUUUGUUCUCAAAGUGCUCACAGGGACCUAGACAAAUGCACAGGAACUUAGAAUCCAACCUGAACCAAACCCAGGAAGGCUUCCUGAAAGAGGCAAUCUCAAAAUGAAGACAAAAUCACAUUUAGAAUGGAUGAAUAAUAAGGUCCUAAUAUAUAGCACAGGGAACUAUAUUCAAUAUCCUGUGAUAAACC